Molecule: ribosomal RNA, 252 nt
Filed under: uncultured bacterium
Lineage: Bacteria
Description: partial 16S ribosomal RNA
Rfam family: Bacterial small subunit ribosomal RNA
Source: RNAcentral
UACGUAGGGGGCAAGCGUUGUCCGGAAUUAUUGGGCGUAAAGCGCGCGCAGGCGGUUGAUUAAGUCUGGUGUAUAACCUUGGGGCUCAACCUCAAGUGGCACUGGAAACUGGUGAACUGGAGUGCAGGAGAGGAAAGUGGAAUUCCACGUGUAGCGGUGAAAUGCGUAGAGAUGUGGAGGAACACCAGUGGCGAAGGCGACUUUCUGGCCUGUAACUGACGCUGAGGCGAGAAAGCGUGGGGAGCAAACAGG